AAGUGCCUACGGGGGGCAGCAGUAGGGAAUCUUCCACAAUGGGCGAAAGCCUGAUGGAGCAACGCCGUGUGGGUGAAGAAGGUCUUCGGAUCGUAAAACCCUGUUGUUAGAGAAGAAAGUGCGUGAGAGUAACUGUUCACGUUUCGACGGUAUCUAACCAGAAAGCCACGGCUAACUACGUGCCAGCAGCCGCGGUAAUACGUAGGUGGCAAGCGUUAUCCGGAUUUAUUGGGCGUAAAGGGAACGCAGGCGGUCUUUUAAGUUUAAUUUGAAAGCCUUCGGCUUAAC
RNAcentral lists this ribosomal RNA (288 nucleotides) under uncultured bacterium. RNAcentral describes it as "partial 16S ribosomal RNA". It matches the Rfam family "Bacterial small subunit ribosomal RNA", at positions 333 to 613 of the family's 1533-position model. The record is from RNAcentral.